RNAcentral lists this ribosomal RNA (513 nucleotides) under uncultured Flavobacterium sp. Its description in RNAcentral is "bacterial SSU rRNA". It matches the Rfam family "Bacterial small subunit ribosomal RNA", at positions 9 to 521 of the family's 1533-position model. The record is from RNAcentral. Lineage: Bacteria; Pseudomonadati; Bacteroidota; Flavobacteriia; Flavobacteriales; Flavobacteriaceae.
GAGUUUGAUCUUGGCUCAGGAUGAACGCUAGCGGCAGGCCUAACACAUGCAAGUCGAGGGGUAGAAGGAGCUUGCUCCUUUGAGACCGGCGCACGGGUGCGUAACGCGUAUGCAAUCUGCCUUGUACUGAGGGAUAGCCCAGAGAAAUUUGGAUUAAUACCUCAUAGUAUAUAACCUUCGCAUGUUGGUUAUAUUAAAGUUCCAACGGUACAAGAUGAGCAUGCGUCCCAUUAGUUAGUUGGUAAGGUAACGGCUUACCAAGACGAUGAUGGGUAGGGGUCCUGAGAGGGAGAUCCCCCACACUGGUACUGAGACACGGACCAGACUCCUACGGGAGGCAGCAGUGAGGAAUAUUGGUCAAUGGGCGCAAGCCUGAACCAGCCAUGCCGCGUGCAGGAUGAAGCAUCUAUGGUGUGUAAACUGCUUUUAUACGGGAAGAAACACUCCUACGUGUAGGAACUUGACGGUACCGUAAGAAUAAGGAUCGGCUAACUCCGUGCCAGCCGCCGCCGU